This is an RNA transcript of Solenopsis invicta (red fire ant), 1704 nucleotides long. RefSeq lists it as uncharacterized. The record is from RefSeq and is a predicted model, not a curated record. NCBI's taxonomy places the organism in Eukaryota, Metazoa, Arthropoda, Insecta, Hymenoptera, Formicidae. The transcript has 3 exons.
GAUCUUCAUUUUUAUUACAAUCUUAAUAUGCACGCGACGAGUAAAAACCGACCAUUUCCUAACGAAAAAAAAAGAAGAGCAAGAAUUGAAUACUAAUUAAUAAUUUCUCGUAACCGUUUAACAUAGAAACAUCCUCAGUAGUAUAGUAACCCAGAAAUAUAGCUCUACAGCAAACUAUCAUCGGCGAAAGAGCAGUCACGAGAAAGCCGUGCGACGGGCAGAAAUACAGGGCAGGGAAGAGACGAGGGGAGAAAAGAGGAUAAGGGAACGGGACAGGAACAAAACGAGGAGAACGAGGAGGCAGACGCUCACAGUAUGUAGACACGCGCGCACGCGGCCGAAGUGGGUAUGCGGCUCUCUGCGGCUUGGAUAGGGAACGAGCCGCGCCAUAAAACACGGGGAAUCCGGGGCUUUAUUUUAUUUCAUUCAAUUCUUCACGGGCGACAACCGCCCCGGGAAUAUGGAAUCAAGUUGUUACGUCGCCUUACGAAGGAUGACGAGAUCGAGGCGGCGGCGGCGGCGGCGGCGUUGGCGGCGUCGGAGAAGGCCGACGCGGUAGUAGAUAUCGAAACGAACAACUUUCACGCACUUCCCACUGAGAGGUCACGACUGUCUAUCAACGGCAAGUGCGUGCAGUCAACGCAAAAUUUAUGACCUUGCCAUCUACGGACCACGGAGCACCACAUUUUUCUUCAUCGGCGGAUGACGAUAGCGACGUCGACGAUGGUGGAGCGAGCUGAUGACCGAUAAAAUAUAUGAAUCGAUAACAAAAACGAACAAACUUGAUUCUUCCUCGAUAAGUAUUUACGGCACGUGCUCAAUAUUUGACUGCUUUUGGAGCCGCCGCUUGACAAAUUGCAUCGUUUGGCUUUCAACCGAGCUUCCCACGCCUCGCAUUGUUGUCGAACCACCGUAAAAUUGUCUCAAAAUCCAUUUGAAAGCAGAUAUCAAUGGAAAAAGAAGGUCCACGAUAGUUUCAUACAAAUACGCGAACCGAGAGACAUUUAUCCGAGUGAUGUUCCUUCUCUUAAUUUCUUUAUUUAUCAAUUCAAUAAAAAACUAAAUAACUUUUGUAAUAUUAUAUUUCUAUACUUGUAGUACCAAAUAGUAAAACUAAUAUAUGUUGUCAUAAAAUCCGCUAACGUCAGAAAAUACAGGAAAAUACGCAACAAGACGAUUGAUAAAUCAUUAAAAAUUUACAAAAAAAAUAUCGCAUAAUUAUUAUAAGCCAUCAAAUAAAUCUGACUAGUCUACGAUGCGCUGUAAAACCUGUUAGAAUUAGUCGGUUAAUGUUGACUGUUGGCUAGACUAUAAAAUCCCAUACAGGCAAGAGACUACAAAAUAACAAGAUCCUACGUAACCGGCAGACGUUGUGAUUUCACGGAAGUCAAACGUAGAACAUCUUUGCCAGGCGUAGAUAGAAAUCUUAUUGUCGCAUCCAGAUCGGACCAUCUGGUCCGGAUCGUCACGCCCAGAGUAACACGGACAAGAGCAGUUUUGAAAUAUAUUAAGGCUCUUGGCACCUCAGUCGAGAACUCUGCAUUGACGGUUAGCGAUAUUCCGUCGUGGACAAAAUUAGAAAACUAAUAGACGUGAAACCUGACUGAUUGACAAUGAGAUGUUGUCGCGCAUGUCAUUUUGUUAGUAUGCGUUUCAUUGUGAAAAUAUGACUUGUCUCGUAUUUGCCAAAUUCGUAAAAAUGGG